This 347-nucleotide long non-coding RNA is filed under the name Elaeis guineensis (African oil palm). RNAcentral describes it as "long non-coding RNA (EGUI_LNC022813)". The record is from RNAcentral. Lineage: Eukaryota; Viridiplantae; Streptophyta; Magnoliopsida; Arecales; Arecaceae.
UCCAGUGCUCGCCGAUCUAACCCCUAUGGGCCAAAGAUAUCGAUGACUAAGAAACAAAAGCUAACCCAUUAAGGAUCCCUGACUCCUCGCUCUUCAGCAUGUAGAGCAUCAGAAGAUCUUAGUCAUACGAGAAGCGAAGGCUAACUUAAGAGGAUCUUCAGAGGGCAAACCUGUGAGCUCAGCCCACCAACUUAGGUAGCACAAGAAGUAAAGGCAAACCCAAGGAGUUCCUUACAGGUGCUUCAUCUCCAAAUAAAUAUAGUCACAAGAAGGCCACUUCAUUCAUGAACAUGAAUAUAGUCAGGAGUACCUCACAGGCACCUCAUCUCUAGAUGAAUAUAGCCACG